This 535-nucleotide ribosomal RNA is filed under the name Soritinae sp. EL7_1275j. Its description in RNAcentral is "bacterial SSU rRNA". The stretch from base 1 to 372 matches the Rfam family "Eukaryotic small subunit ribosomal RNA", at positions 738 to 1116 of the family's 1831-position model. The record is from RNAcentral. Lineage: Eukaryota; Foraminifera; Miliolida; Soritidae.
AAUUAAAUAACUUAAUACUGUGAACAAAACAGAAUGUAUAAAAUAUGUAAUAUAAUUAAUAUUUAUGCAUUGAAUGUUUUAUCAUGUAAUAUUGUUAAUUUCGAUGGAGAUAGUUGGAGUUAAGAGUACUAAUAGGCGAGCGGUGAAAUGCAUUGACCCUAUUAAGACUAACAAAAGCGAAAGCACUUAACUAGAUUAUACUCUUUGUAUAUUAUUUACAAUGAAGAGCGAAGGUUGGGGGAACAAAGAGGAUCAGAUACCCUCGUAGUCCUAUUUUUACAUCAAACUAUGGGAUUUCAAUUGAAUAUAUAUAAUAUCCUUCAAUCAUUAUAAUAUUAAUAUAUGAUUGAGAUUUUUAAAUAUUAAUCUCUCAUAUAUAUAUAUAUUUAUUUAAUUGUAAGUAAUUAAUAAUUGAUUAUAUGUACUUUGAGCUCAUAUAAUUAAUAUAGGUGAGAUGUAAGCAUUAUAGGUGAACAAUAUACUUAUAUAAUGUAUAAUGUAUUAUUGUAAUCCUUAAUAAAAAUGUAAUGUGAUG